UAGUAACUUAUUAUACCGCGAGGCGGACGAUGACCUUACCGGAUUUACGUGUACAUACAGUAUCUUAAGAAACAAUUGUGUAUUCUUUAUAUUUAGAAAAGUAAUUACUUACUCCAAUAAUUAUUUUUUAUGAAACCCACUAUUGUAAUCAUGAUUUUAAAAUAUUUUUUGUGCUAUUUUAUACUCCAAAAUAAAAUAAUUUAGUGAACGAAUUUAUUUAUAAGUAUUUGAUGCGCAGAUAAGCAAUGCGCAAGUCUUGUUAUGCUCAACUAGCUAAGGGGCGAUCGGAGACGGACGAAUGAUCUCUGAGCAUGGCGUGGAGCUUGGUCAAGUAAACAACUUAUGUGUAUCAUUAUAUAAAAAUCUAAACUUGUAUCAAAUAGUUAACUUUUAUAUCUGAAAAACAUCAUCACAUAGUAACAUUUUCGAAACAUGAGAUUUAUGUUCAAUGUGAAAGGAAUCAUGUGCAUAUCUUUUUUGAAGUGAAUUGUUUUUUUUUGCCUUUUAUUGUUCGACUUAGUGAGAUUGUGACGUCAAAUUUUGGAGUACGGCGUGCCAUGUUUCGACAUUAGAAAAUUUCCACCACAAGGCAGCCAUCACGAUUAUUCUGGACAGAAAUGUUUUGAGCAUCGAGUGACUAUUCGAUUUACCAACUAUAAAGCUACUUUAAUAAUAAACGAAGAAUGUCGAUGCAACAUCUCUGAUAAAAUAGUGACUAACAACUGACAACAAAUUCAAAUUAAUCUUUCUUUUUGUCAAGGUUUAUGUCAAGUGAAAUGACUACAAUUGAUGGCAUAUCUUUAACACUAUACCUUUAAAAGCAUGGUUAAAUUAUGCUGUUGGAAGUAUUAUUUCUCACAACAAAAAAUAUAUCAUUCAUAGAUAAUGUUUACAUUAGAUUGCCUGCCAUCAAGUUAUUGCGUACAUGUCAUUUCGACCAUCUCAAAAAUAGAUGGUACCAUUAUUAAAAAAUGACGAUAACUAUUUGAUUAACCAAAAAAAAAGGCAAAUUUUGAAAUCACACGUCAUCAUCUUAUCAUUCUAGAGUAAAUUAUUAACUACAAAAAAAGAGAAAAGAAAUAUAAAAUAGAAAACAUGUUAGGUUGUCCAAACUGUUUGAGCUACUUAAGGUUGUCAACAACUUCUUCGACAGCUGAACGUGAGUCAUGUCAACUAUGUGAUCGCCUUCACAACAAUACUGAAAAUGAUAUGGUUGUUCAUAAAAAUAAAUUAAGAUUGAAUAAAAGAUGUGAAAUCAAUACUGACUGGAAAAGAGAUAAAGAGAUAUUGAUCACUCGUCAAUAUGGAAUGAAACCAGUGUAUAACUGUCGAAUGACAAAUAAUGCUUUGAGUGUUGUGCGAUGGAGUUCUGAAAGUAGAACAUUUUUUUGGUUUAAGUUAAUUUGGAUAGUUAUCAUUUUAUUUCCAAUUGUUACUGCCAGUUUCACCGAAAAACCUCUACAAACAACACAUUCUUUCGAUGGAGAUGUGUGCCAAAGCAUAGACAUAAGAAAUAGUGUGACUCAAUUUUCAAGACUGAAAGGCUGUCGAGUAGUAGAAGGUUUCGUACAAAUAUUAUUAAUUGACCACGCAGAUGAUUCAGCCUAUGCUAACCUCACAUUUCCGGAUUUGAUAGAAAUUACAGGUUACCUUUUAUUAUACAGAGUGAACGGCUUACGAAGUAUUGGCCAACUUUUUCCCAAUUUAACCGUUAUCCGUGGUCAUUCGCUCUUCAUAAAUUAUGCACUGGUGGCUUUCGAAAUGAUGCACCUACAAGAAGUUGGCCUAUACUCACUUACUGAUAUAUUACGAGGUUCUGUACGUUUUGAAAAAAAUCCAAUGCUCUGCUAUGUUGAUACUAUUGAUUGGGAUAUUAUCGCUAAAGCUGGGAAUGGAGAACAUGUUAUUGCGGAUAACAAGCUCAAGAAUUUAUGUCCUGUGUGCGAAAAACACUGUCCAACUCGUUUAACAAAGCUAGAUGAUAAUUUAUGUUGGAAUGGACAAAAUUGUCAAAAAAUUUGUAAAUGUGGUCAUCGUGCUUGCAAUCCGUCCAACGAAUGCUGUCAUCCCCUAUGUUUAGGAGGAUGUACUGGUCUAACAGCAUUAGAUUGUAACAUAUGCAGAGAUGUAAUUUUACCUGAUAACAAAUGUGCGAAACAGUGUCCAGAAAAUAUGUAUGAAUUUUUAAAUCGUCGAUGUAUAGAUGAACAUAAAUGUCGGAAAAUGAAAAAGCCUUUGGAAUCAUUCGGAAACGUACGGGAUUAUCCAUAUAAACCUUUUAAAAAUAGUUGCGUGAUUGAAUGUCCAGCAGGUUAUAUGGAUGAUGAAAGUGAUGGUAAAGCUUCAUGUAAAGAAUGUGACCGUGCUUGUUCAAAAGUAUGCUCUGGAGCAAGUGUUGAUAGCAUUGCUUCUGCUCAAAAACUUCGUGGUUGUACUCGUAUCGAAGGUAGUUUGGAGAUACAAAUAAAAGGUGGCAAACACAUGGUGAAAGAACUGGAAGAUAAUUUAAACAUGAUAGAAAUAAUUGAUGGCUACUUAAAAAUUGUACGAAGUUUCCCUCUGAUAUCUUUAAACUUUUUAAAAAAUUUAAAAUUGAUUAAUGGUUCUCAAUUAGAAAACGAUAAAUAUACAUUAGCAGUUCUUGAUAAUCAAAACCUUCAAGAGUUAUGGGACUGGGAUACUCAUCCACCUAUUACUAUAAAAUCUAAAGAUGGACCUGCCAAAGUAUUUUUUCAUUUUAAUCCAAAGUUGUGUCUUCAAAAAAUAGAAAAAUUACGAGAAGUUGCUAAACUCUCUCGAUUUACAGAUUUAGAAGUUGCACCAAAUAGUAACGGUGAUAAAGUAGCUUGUAACGUAACUGAAUUAAAAGUAUCUGUAACUAAAAAAACUGCUGAAGCAGCACUUAUAGAGUGGAAAGCAUUUGAACAUCAUGAUCCGAGAUCAUUAUUAGGUUACGUUGUUUAUUUUAUAGAAGCACCCCAUCAAAAUGUUACAAUGUACGAUAGUCGUGAUGCAUGUGGAGGAGACGGUUGGAGAGUAGAUGAUGUUGCUCCAGAAUCGUCAAACGAAUCAUCAAAUCUUAUUAUUACUGCUUUACUCACUCAAUUAAAGCCAUACACUCAAUAUGCAUUUUACGUUAAAACUUAUACCAUCGCCACGGAAAGAUCAGGUGCUCAGAGUAAAGUACAAUAUUUUACAACUUUACCUGGUGAACCAAGUCAACCUAGAUCUUUCUCUGUUUGGAGUAAUUCUAGCAGUGAAUUAGUCAUGUCUUGGCUUCCACCACUUCGAAGUAACGGAAAUUUAACAUAUUAUAGAAUUAUUGGCAAACAAGAAGUAUAUGAUCCUAAUCUUCUUGCGAAACGAGAUUACUGCGAUAAACCUUUGCAAUUUCCGGAUAAAAAACCUAUAUCUGAGAUAGCUGAAGAGGAACGAAAACGUGCAGAAGCCGAAAAAGAACGUAAUAAGCCUGAUUUAUCUUCUUGUGAAUGUGCUGAUAAAGAAUCAACUCAAUCAGAAAGAGAAAAAGAAGUGUCAGGUUCGAUUGCUUUUGAAGAUGCAUUACACAAUCAGGUUUAUGUUAAAAGAGUUGGCAGCAAUAGUAGACGUAGACGAGAUAUAACUGUUAUUAAACCGAGUGAUCUUGAAUACUUACGAAAGAACGAAACAAUCAUUAACACUGAUCAGACGCUUAAUCUAAUACCCAGUUCUGAACAAUCAUUCGUAAUGCGAAAUUUAGAGCAUUUCGCUACUUAUAAUAUAGAGCUUCAAGCUUGUCGAGAAGCUGUUCCUGAUGAUGUAAGCGAAAAAUGUUCCACAAAAGUGAUACAAAACUCUCGAACUUUACCAUUUGAGCAUGCAGACGAUAUUCCGUUGGGAUCACUGAAAUUACAAAAGAUCUAUGAUCGCACUAACACUAGUCGUCCAGCAGUGAAAUUACAGUGGGAAGAACCAAAAAGACCUAACGGAUUGAUUGUUGCCUAUCAAAUUGAAUACAAACGAGUAGGAAUGCCAGAUAUUCAGCCAAUUGUAGUUUGUAUAAGUAGUCAAAGAUUUCGCAACGACAGUAAUUCUUGUAUCACUAAAGAUUUGCCGGCUGGUAAUUAUUCCGUAAAAGUUCGGGCUACAAGUUUAGCAGGAAGUGGUGCCGACUCAGAAGUACUUUACGUAUAUAUUGAGGAAGAUAGUUCAAAAGACAAAUUUGGGAUUAUUUUCUGGUCAGUGUUCUUCAUCGUUCUCAUUGCAGCAAUUUUUAUUGGAAUGUAUCUGUGUAAACGUAAGCUUAUGCGAAAUGUACCGAGUAGAAGACUGAUAGCGACCGUGAAUCCAGAAUAUGUCAGCACUGCUUACGUACCUGAUGAAUGGGAAGUACCAAGAAAGAAAAUUCGUUUAUCUCGAGAGCUAGGGAAUGGUUCUUUUGGUAUGGUUUAUGAAGGUAUUGCUAAAGAUAUUAGUAAGUUAAAACCUGAAAUAAGAUGUGCCGUCAAAACUGUUAAUGAAAAUGCAACCGAUCGUGAACGCAUAGAAUUUUUAAAUGAGGCUUCGGUAAUGAAAGCUUUCAACACCCAUCAUGUUGUUCGGCUACUUGGUGUUGUAUCUCGAGGUCAACCUCCUUAUGUCAUCAUGGAAUUAAUGGUAAAUGGUGAUCUCAAAACUUAUUUACGAAGUCAUCGACCCGAUCAGUGUGAGAAUAUGUCAAGACAACCUCCUACACUCAAACGAAUAAUACGAAUGGCAGCUGAAAUUGCCGAUGGAAUGGCUUAUCUUUCAGCAAAGAAAUUUGUACACAGAGAUUUGGCAGCUCGCAAUUGUAUGGUAGCAGAAGAUCUGACCGUAAAAAUAGGUGAUUUUGGAAUGACUAGAGAUAUAUAUGAAACAGAUUACUAUCGAAAAGGUACAAAAGGUCUUCUGCCGGUUCGCUGGAUGGCACCUGAGAGUUUAAAAGACGGAGUAUUUACUAGUUAUUCAGAUGUCUGGAGUUAUGGAAUAGUUUUAUGGGAAAUGGUAACACUUGCAUCUCAACCAUAUCAAGGAUUAUCGAAUGAUCAAGUAUUACGUUAUGUAAUUGAUGGAGGUGUAAUGGAACGUCCAGAAAAUUGUCCUGAUUCUCUUUAUCGAUUAAUGCGAGGAACAUGGAAUCAAAAAGCUGUACGAAGGCCUACAUUUAUUCAUAUUACUGCUAUGCUUUUGAAAGAAGCAUCUUUAGAAGGUUUCGAAACUGUCAGCUUUUAUCACAGCCCGGAAGGAAUUGAAGCUCGUAAUCAAAACAACUCUCUUUCACCACUCAAUGAUAACGAUUUUGAAAUGGCUUCGUUAGAGGAUUUAAGAGAAGACGAACAAGAAGGAGAUGAAGGUCUACCACUGCGUGAAGAUUUUGGGGAUUUCGCAAGUGUUGAACCAAGUUGUUUUAAAAAUAGUACAGAUUCAAGAUAUGAUUUAAAACCAUACGAUGAUAACCCUGGAAUUCCUGCGAGCUUCCACGAUCUAAACUCUUCAAAGAUGCCUCUUAAAGCUGGUUUUGACGAUUUUGAUGGUGUGUCAGUAGGGUCUUUUUGCUCGAGUAAAGAUACAUUGAAUUUUCCAUUUGUGGAAGAAAGCCUUAAAUCAGUUAAAAACUCCCCGUCCAUAAAGAACAAUAGUACGACUCGACAAAAUUUCAAGAAGCGGAACAACAAUCUCAGACUGAUUAUUUAGAUAAAAAUGAAAGUCUGAAUAAUGGAUACAUUAGUGGAACAACUACGUAGUUUACAAAGUAACUUGUGAUUUUUUUCGGAUCAACACAAAAAAAUGUGACAAAUACAGCACUUAUCCAAUGUCGCGUCAAAAACGCUCAAAAACUAUUUUACAGAGCCGCCAAUAUGUUUAAAAGAAAUGAAUGUUUUCAUACUCUUUAUAGUUACAAUAAAAUGAUAUUAAGAUUAA
RNAcentral lists this unclassified non-coding RNA (5922 nucleotides) under Cotesia glomerata. RNAcentral describes it as "insulin-like receptor, transcript variant X5". Lineage: Eukaryota; Metazoa; Arthropoda; Insecta; Hymenoptera; Braconidae. The record is from RNAcentral.